CCGGAGGCAGCAGUGAGGAAUAUUGGACAAUGGGCGAAAGCCUGAUCCAGCAAUGCCGCGUGGGUGAAGAAGGUCUUCGGAUUGUAAAGCCCUUUCGACGGGGACGAUGAUGACGGUACCCGUAGAAGAAGCCCCGGCUAACUUCGUGCCAGCAGCCGCGGUAAUACGAAGGGGGCUAGCGUUGCUCGGAUUGACUGGGCGUAAAGGGCGCGUAGGCGGUUCGUACAGUCAGACGUGAAAUUCCUGGGCUCAACCUGGGGGCUGCGUUUGAUACGUGCGGACUUGAGUGCGGAAGAGGGUCGUGGAAUUCCCAGUGUAGAGGUGAAAUUCGUAGAUAUUGGGAAGAACACCGGUGGCGAAGGCGGCGACCUGGUCCGAUACUGACGCUGAGGCGCGAAAGCGUGGGGAGCAAACAGGAUUAGAUACCCUGGUAGU
RNAcentral lists this ribosomal RNA (435 nucleotides) under uncultured bacterium. RNAcentral's name for it is "bacterial SSU rRNA". It matches the Rfam family "Bacterial small subunit ribosomal RNA", at positions 342 to 794 of the family's 1533-position model. The record is from RNAcentral.